UACGUAGGGCGCAAGCGUUAUCCGGAAUUAUUGGGCGUAAAGAGCUCGUAGGCGGUUUGUCGCGUCUGCUGUGAAAACUCGGGGCUUAACCCCGAACUUGCAGUGGGUACGGGCAGACUAGAGUGUGGUAGGGGAGACUGGAAUUCCUGGUGUAGCGGUGAAAUGCGCAGAUAUCAGGAGGAACACCGAUGGCGAAGGCAGGUCUCUGGGCCGACUACUGACGCUGAGGAGCGAAAGCGUGGGGAGCGAACAGG
Molecule: ribosomal RNA, 254 nt
Filed under: uncultured bacterium
Lineage: Bacteria
Description: partial 16S ribosomal RNA
Rfam family: Bacterial small subunit ribosomal RNA
Source: RNAcentral